This 270-nucleotide non-coding RNA is filed under the name Janthinobacterium sp. KBS0711. RNAcentral describes it as "FMN riboswitch aptamer (RFN element)". It matches the Rfam family "FMN riboswitch aptamer (RFN element)". From Rfam's summary of the family: The RFN element is a highly conserved domain that is found frequently in the 5'-untranslated regions of prokaryotic mRNAs that encode for flavin mononucleotide (FMN) biosynthesis and transport proteins. RNAcentral also lists the same sequence under 1 other name. The record is from Rfam by way of RNAcentral. Lineage: Bacteria; Pseudomonadati; Pseudomonadota; Betaproteobacteria; Burkholderiales; Oxalobacteraceae.
AUACGUCUUCGGGGCGGGGUGCGAUUCCCCACCGGCGGUAAGACCGGCAACGGUCGAGCCCGCGAGCGCUUUCCGAUAAGGAUUGGCAUUAGUAACCGUCGCGAGCAAGCUCAAUAUCGGCUUGAGUAGCGCAACUGUACGAAGGUACAGUGAGCAACGCAAAGUCGAGAGUGGGCUGCGCAGCAGGUUAAUAAGCCAAUCCGAGGAAAGGUCAGCAGAUCUGGUGUGACUCCAGAGCCGACGGUAUAGUCCGGAUGAAAGAAGAUGUGC